GGUCAAGUGAAGAAGCGCAUACGGUGGAUGCCUUGGCAGUCAGAGGCGAUGAAAGACGUGGUAGCCUGCGAAAAGCUUCGGGGAGUCGGCAAACAGACUGUGAUCCGGAGAUGUCUGAAUGGGGGAACCCAGCCAUCAUAAGAUGGUUAUCUUGUACUGAAUACAUAGGUGCAAGAGGCGAACCAGGGGAACUGAAACAUCUAAGUACCCUGAGGAAAAGAAAUCAACCGAGAUUCCCUUAGUAGUGGCGAGCGAACGGGGACCAGCCCUUAAGUUGUAUUGAGAUUAGCGGAACGUUCUGGAAAGGACGGCCAUAGUGGGUGAUAGCCCUGUACGCGAAAAUCCCUUUGCAAUGAAAUCGAGUAGGACGGGGCACGAGAAACCUUGUCUGAAUAUGGGGGGACCAUCCUCCAAGGCUAAAUACUACUGACUGACCGAUAGUGAACCAGUACCGUGAGGGAAAGGCGAAAAGAACCGCGGAGAGCGGAGUGAAAUAGAUCCUGAAACCGUAUGCGUACAAGCAGUGGGAGCCCACUUUGUUGGGUGACUGCGUACCUUUUGUAUAAUGGGUCAGCGACUUAUUUUCAGUGGCGAGCUUAACCGAAUAGGGGAGGCGUAGCGAAAGCGAGUCUUAAUAGGGCGUCUAGUCGCUGGGAAUAGACCCGAAACCGGGCGAUCUAUCCAUGGGCAGGUUGAAGGUUGGGUAACACUAACUGGAGGACCGAACCGACUACCGUUGAAAAGUUAGCGGAUGACCUGUGGAUCGGAGUGAAAGGCUAAUCAAGCUCGGAGAUAGCUGGUUCUCCUCGAAAGCUAUUUAGGUAGCGCCUCAUGUAUCACUGUAGGGGGUAGAGCACUGUUUCGGCUAGGGGGUCAUCCCGACUUACCAAACCGAUGCAAACUCCGAAUACCUACAAGUGCCGAGCAUGGGAGACACACGGCGGGUGCUAACGUCCGUCGUGAAAAGGGAAACAACCCAGACCGUCAGCUAAGGUCCCAAAGUCAUGGUUAAGUGGGAAACGAUGUGGGAAGGCUUAGACAGCUAGGAGGUUGGCUUAGAAGCAGCCACCCUUUAAAGAAAGCGUAAUAGCUCACUAGUCGAGUCGGCCUGCGCGGAAGAUGUAACGGGGCUCAAACCAUGCACCGAAGCUACGGGUAUCAUCUUUUGAUGAUGCGGUAGAGGAGCGUUCUGUAAGCCUGUGAAGGUGAGUUGAGAAGCUUGCUGGAGGUAUCAGAAGUGCGAAUGCUGACAUGAGUAACGACAAUGGGUGUGAAAAACACCCACGCCGAAAGACCAAGGUUUCCUGCGCAACGUUAAUCGACGCAGGGUUAGUCGGUCCCUAAGGCGAGGCUGAAAAGCGUAGUCGAUGGAAAACAGGUUAAUAUUCCUGUACUUCUGGUUAUUGCGAUGGAGGGACGGAGAAGGCUAGGCCAGCCUGGCGUUGGUNNNNNNNNNNNNNNNNNNNNNUUUAGAACACGAAGUGGUUGAUGCCAUGCUUCCAAGAAAAGCUUCUAAGCUUCAGGUAACCAGGAACCGUACCCCAAACCGACACAGGUGGUUGGGUAGAGAAUACCAAGGCGCUUGAGAGAACUCGGGUGAAGGAACUAGGCAAAAUGGCACCGUAACUUCGGGAGAAGGUGCGCCGGUGGAGGUGAAGCAUUUACUGCGUAAGCCCCUGCCGGUCGAAGAUACCAGGCCGCUGCGACUGUUUAUUAAAAACACAGCACUCUGCAAACACGAAAGUGGACGUAUAGGGUGUGACGCCUGCCCGGUGCCGGAAGGUUAAUUGAUGGGGUUAGCGCAAGCGAAGCUCUUGAUCGAAGCCCCGGUAAACGGCGGCCGUAACUAUAACGGUCCUAAGGUAGCGAAAUUCCUUGUCGGGUAAGUUCCGACCUGCACGAAUGGCGUAACGAUGGCGGCGCUGUCUCCACCCGAGACUCAGUGAAAUUGAAAUCGCUGUGAAGAUGCAGUGUAUCCGCGGCUAGACGGAAAGACCCCGUGAACCUUUACUAUAGCUUUGCACUGGACUUUGAAUUUGCUUGUGUAGGAUAGGUGGGAGGCUUUGAAGCGUGGACGCCAGUCUGCGUGGAGCCAACCUUGAAAUACCACCCUGGCAACUUUGAGGUUCUAACUCAGGUCCGUUAUCCGGAUCGAGGACAGUGUAUGGUGGGUAGUUUGACUGGGGCGGUCUCCUCCUAAAGAGUAACGGAGGAGUACGAAGGUGCGCUCAGACCGGUCGGAAAUCGGUCGUAGAGUAUAAAGGCAAAAGCGCGCUUGACUGCGAGACAGACACGUCGAGCAGGUACGAAAGUAGGUCUUAGUGAUCCGGUGGUUCUGUAUGGAAGGGCCAUCGCUCAACGGAUAAAAGGUACUCCGGGGAUAACAGGCUGAUACCGCCCAAGAGUUCAUAUCGACGGCGGUGUUUGGCACCUCGAUGUCGGCUCAUCACAUCCUGGGGCUGAAGCCGGUCCCAAGGGUAUGGCUGUUCGCCAUUUAAAGUGGUACGCGAGCUGGGUUUAGAACGUCGUGAGACAGUUCGGUCCCUAUCUGCCGUGGACGUUUGAGAUUUGAGAGGGGCUGCUCCUAGUACGAGAGGACCGGAGUGGACGAACCUCUGGUGUUCCGGUUGUCACGCCAGUGGCAUUGCCGGGUAGCUAUGUUCGGAAAAGAUAACCGCUGAAAGCAUCUAAGCGGGAAACUUGCCUCAAGAUGAGAUCUCACUGGAACCUUGAGUUCCCUAAAGGGCCGUCGAAGACUACGACGUUGAUAGGUUGGGUGUGUAAGCGCUGUGAGGCGUUGAGCUAACCAAUACUAAUUGCCCGUGAGGCUUGACCAU
This 2837-nucleotide ribosomal RNA is filed under the name Pseudomonas syringae. RNAcentral describes it as "23S ribosomal RNA". It matches the Rfam family "Bacterial large subunit ribosomal RNA". The record is from RNAcentral. Lineage: Bacteria; Pseudomonadati; Pseudomonadota; Gammaproteobacteria; Pseudomonadales; Pseudomonadaceae.